AAGUCGUAACAAGGUUUCCGUAGGUGAACCUGCGGAAGGAUCAUUACAUAAUCAAUUACAAUGUGCUGUCUCUCUCUCUCGAGAGAGAGAGACAGUAUAUUAUAAACCCUUGUGAACCGUUAUCGACACCUUUGGCGUAGCUUAUGGUUGUCAAACCCCGCGCUAACCGAACCACCUUACGGUGUGUGGUCAGCGCGCCGGGGGCGAUGGCUGUUACGUCAGACGGUACCAAACAAAACAAACCAUUUGCACACCUAUCUUGACUUAAUCUAAGAUUUUCUAAUUGAAAUACAACUUUUAACAAUGGAUCUCUUGGCUCUU
Molecule: unclassified non-coding RNA, 321 nt
Filed under: fungal sp.
Lineage: Eukaryota; Fungi
Description: partial internal transcribed spacer region
Rfam family: Eukaryotic small subunit ribosomal RNA (bases 1-46)
Source: RNAcentral